UACGGAGGAUGCAAGCGUUAUCCGGAUUUAUUGGGUUUAAAGGGUGCGUAGGCGGAUAUGUAAGUCAGCGGUGAAACUCACAGGCUCAACCUGUGCCGUGCCGUUGAAACUGUGUAUCUGGAAUGCGGAUGCUGUGGGAGGAAUGUGUAGUGUAGCGGUGAAAUGCAUAGAUAUUACACAGAACACCGAUUGCGAAGGCAGCUUUCUAAGCUGGAUCUGACGCUGAGGCACGAAAGCGUGGGUAG
RNAcentral lists this ribosomal RNA (245 nucleotides) under uncultured prokaryote. Its description in RNAcentral is "partial 16S ribosomal RNA". It matches the Rfam family "Bacterial small subunit ribosomal RNA", at positions 524 to 768 of the family's 1533-position model. The record is from RNAcentral.